AUGGCAAAGUUAAUAAGGGCGCACGGUGGAUGCCUUGGCACUAAGAGCCGAUGAAGGACGUGACUAACGACGAUAUUCUAGGGGGAGCAGUAAGUACGCAUUGAUCCCUAGGUCUCCGAAUGGG
This 124-nucleotide ribosomal RNA is filed under the name Lactococcus lactis subsp. lactis bv. diacetylactis str. LD61. Its description in RNAcentral is "partial 23S ribosomal RNA". It matches the Rfam family "Bacterial large subunit ribosomal RNA", at positions 1 to 122 of the family's 2925-position model. Lineage: Bacteria; Bacillati; Bacillota; Bacilli; Lactobacillales; Streptococcaceae. The record is from RNAcentral.